GACGAACGCUGGCGGCGUGCUUAAUACAUGCAAGUCGAGCGAGGUUACUGUUUUGGAUCCCUUCGGGGUGAAGAAGCUUUAACCUAGCGGCGGACGGGUGAGUAACGCGUGGGUAACCUACCCCAAAGUCCGGGAUAACAGCGGGAAACCGCUGCUAAUACCGGAUGCCUUUACCUUGGGGCAUCUUGAGGUAAAGAAAGGUAACGCUUUGGGAUGGGCCCGCGUCCCAUUAGCUAGUUGGUGAGGUAACGGCUCACCAAGGCGAACGAUGGGUAGCCGGCCUGAGAGGGUGGACGGCCACACUGGGACUGAGACACGGCCCAGACUCCUACGGGAGGCAGCAGUAGGGAAUAUUGCGCAAUGGACGGAAGUCUGACGCAGCGACGCCGCGUGAGCGAUGAAGGUCUUCGGAUCGUAAAGCUCUGUCCUUGGGGAAGAAGGUCUUCGGACUUGACGGUACCCAAGAAGAAAGCCCCGGCUAACUACGUG
RNAcentral lists this ribosomal RNA (489 nucleotides) under uncultured bacterium. RNAcentral describes it as "bacterial SSU rRNA". It matches the Rfam family "Bacterial small subunit ribosomal RNA", at positions 28 to 507 of the family's 1533-position model. The record is from RNAcentral.